UUGGAGAGGUUUGAUCCUGGCUCAGGAUGAACGCUGGCGGCGUGCCUAAUACAUGCAAGUCGAGCGAACAGAUAAGGAGCUUGCUCCUUUGACGUUAGCGGCGGACGGGUGAGUAACACGUGGAUAACCUACCUAUAAGACUGGGAUAACUUCGGGAAACCGGAGCUAAUACCGGAUAACAUAUUGAACCGCAUGGUUCAAUAGUGAAAGGCGGCUUUGCUGUCACUUAUAGAUGGAUCCGCGCCGUAUUAGCUAGUUGGUAAGGUAACGGCUUACCAAGGCAACGAUACGUAGCCGACCUGAGAGGGUGAUCGGCCACACUGGAACUGAGACACGGUCCAGACUCCUACGGGAGGCAGCAGUAGGGAAUCUUCCGCAAUGGGCGAAAGCCUGACGGAGCAACGCCGCGUGAGUGAUGAAGGUCUUCGGAUCGUAAAACUCUGUUAUCAGGGAAGAACAAAUGUGUAAGUAACUGUGCACAUCUUGACGGUACCUGAUCAGAAAGCCACGGCUAACUACGUGCCAGCAGCCGCGGGUAAUA
Molecule: ribosomal RNA, 541 nt
Filed under: Staphylococcus sp.
Lineage: Bacteria; Bacillati; Bacillota; Bacilli; Caryophanales; Staphylococcaceae
Description: bacterial SSU rRNA
Rfam family: Bacterial small subunit ribosomal RNA
Source: RNAcentral